This 270-nucleotide ribosomal RNA is filed under the name uncultured bacterium. RNAcentral's name for it is "partial 16S ribosomal RNA". It matches the Rfam family "Bacterial small subunit ribosomal RNA", at positions 29 to 297 of the family's 1533-position model. The record is from RNAcentral.
AACGAACGUUGGCGGCGUGGAUUAGGCAUGCAAGUCGAACGAGAACCACUGGGCAACUGGUGGGGAAAGUGGCGAAAGGGGCAGUAAUGCAUGGGUAACCUACCCUGGGGAUCGGGAUAGCCAUUCUAACGGAUGGGUAAUACCGAGCGAUGUAGCGAGAUCGCAUGACCUUGCUACGAAAUGAAUUUCGCCUCGGGAGGGGCUCAUGUGAUAUUAGCUUGUUGGCGGGGUAACGGCCCACCAAGGCUGAGAUGUCUAGCGGGUGUGAGA